This is a long non-coding RNA of Paramormyrops kingsleyae, 1113 nucleotides long. RefSeq lists it as uncharacterized. The record is from RefSeq and is a predicted model, not a curated record. Lineage: Eukaryota; Metazoa; Chordata; Actinopteri; Osteoglossiformes; Mormyridae.
UCUCAUUAUUCCCGUCCGGUUAUUAGCGUCUACAUUCCCGUUGUCUGUGCCUUUCCCUGUAUAAGCAUUAUGCUUCUCCACCACAUGAAGCUGGUCAGCCUGCCGCCUCUCCACUGCGUGAAGCUGGUCAGCCCAUAGCUGCCGCCUCGCCUAUCCCAGUGCCUCUGGAGCCCUACCUAGGGGAGGCCGUCACCAUGCCUCCAGAGCCUCGCCCAAGGGAAGCCAUUGCCACCGCACCUAAGUCUCAUGAGUCUCACCCACAAGGUCCGUACUUCAGGCUCCUGGCCCAGAGAAGGACAUUCUGCCCAAGUCCACAGCUCCCGGCCCGAGAGGGGCCACAUCACCCAGGCCCAGUCUCGCAGCAGCCAUUCUGUCCUGCAGUGAACUUUUGAGGUCACUCCAGGUGUCCCGGCUGCACCCACCUCGCCUCCAGGUUGCCACCAGGCCAGGGUGAGUAUACCCAGACGAAGUCCAGCUAGAGGACUUGGAAGAGGAGUCUCUGGAUCUCGCCCUAAGUCUGUCUGCAUGGGCCCCCACCUCAGCCUGAAGUCCACAUUGACCUGAUCUGGAGCCCCAGUAUGGUCAGACGUGUCUGCUGGGGCCCCAACGAGGGGUUGGCUGACUCUCCAUCUCUCAGAGUGGGAGACGGGGGUUCACUCUCCAUGACGGCUGCCCCGACUCUCGUUUUCCUGAUGUUGUCGGCCCGAGGAACUCUCCUGCUGAGGACCGAAGGAAAGAACCCAUGGAAUCCUCCUGCACUGGCCUGGUGGCCCGAUUGUUCCCUCCAGUGUUUCCUUCCCUGCCUCUAUUAUUCCCUGUACAAGUCUAACUGUUUUUGAUCCCUUGCAGUCCUGUUUGUUUUAUAGUCGCUGUUUAGUUUUGAUUUAAUAAAACCUCUGUCAUUCUCCCAGCCCUAGAUAGAAGCCUGUUAUUUUAAAAUUAACAGGGUGCCUAUUCACACCUGAUUGUCAUCACUUUGAUUGACAACCCUGACACUGAUUAGCAACAUCUGACUCUAAUCUCACCUUCAAAUAACCUGCAAGAUUCACAUAGUUUUGCCAGUCAUAGAUUUGUGACAAUUGAUCAUUAAUAAAUAGAGGACCAAGUAUGAUA